GGCAGUUGUCAGGUGAUGCACCCCGGAAUCGGGCUCCUCCUCUCUGGUUCUGGGGAGCAUCACCUGAGAACUGCU
Non-coding RNA from Myotis davidii, 75 nucleotides. Lineage: Eukaryota; Metazoa; Chordata; Mammalia; Chiroptera; Vespertilionidae. The record is from Rfam.